GUGUGUGUGUGUGUGCGCAGGAACGAUCAGAAGAACAGGGGGUUCUUUCAAAACCCUAAAGCACAUGAAAUCCAGCAAAAUCAAGGAGAAAUCGAGCAAAGAAAUUAGGGCUUUAACUAAAAUCGUGAUCACCAAGCUAAGGGGAUCGGAAGUUUGACGCCUAACAAGCUAGGUGGAAGCUUGUGGAUGAAGCGGGUCAAACGGAGCGCGUACGGAAAGAAAGGCGUGGCAUGGAUGCAAGGUAAGUAUAGCUUACACUAGUCUUAUAUGUUAGGAUAUUCUCUUAUCGUAUUAGUUAUGAAUGAGAUAAAUACUUAAUUGAGGUAUGAUGUUCCGGCGUGUAAACGUACGGAACAAAGUAGUCAAUCAUGACAAGAAACCAUGUGGAUGGUUAAAAGGAGUUAAAUCGGUAAAUUGGUCAUGCGUUGACCAUAACUAUUGGUUUUGAAAGACACAGUAAAACAUAAACCAUGAUAGGCUAAAAAGUGUUAAGAAAUGAUUAAUAAGUGAAAUGACCGCACGAUGUAAACCGGAGCGAGUCAUGUAGAUGAGAUGGUAAUAAAUAUCAUCUCGUCAACAUAUUCGGUCACUUAGACCAAAUGGGUUAAAAGGUGAAGAUAUCACCCUUUGACAAUAACGACUAAUGAUUUUUGUCGAGUUAUAUUAUUUCAGGUGUAAAUGUCAAAUGGGUAUUAGCAACGCUAUGAAUUAGCGGUUAUAAAAGCAAGGUAUUAAAAACGGGUCAAUAUAUUGAUCUGCGCCAGGUAUGUGAAAAAGGGUAACCCUCAUUUAGAACAUGUGGUUCAAAGAGUGUUAAAAGUAGUCAAGGUGAACAUUUGGUUACUUGAUAAGUAAACCAAAAGUUUUAGGUAAGGAACAUUGUAUUUGGAAAGCUUAAUGACUUUUCAAAUAAAAUCAUAGGUUAAAAGAGGGAUUACGGGUCAAAAUAAGCAUACGAGUGAAAACGGGUUUAAAUUGUGUAAUAAACCUGUGAUUAUAACCUAAUAUGGUAAAUAACCUUAAUUUGAAGUAGUGUACAUGAUAUAAAGGUUAAACAAGUAUGUUUGUUUGAUAAACGUAUAAACGGGUCAAAAUUUUGGUAAAAGAGUAAUAAGCCGAAGACUUAAAAGUCUUAAAUUUUAUUAAUUCGGAUGUUGGAUUUUAACUCCAUAUGAUGGAAGAUUAAAUUACAAUCAUGUAGGAAGAAACGGUAGAUCAAACGGAUAAGCGGUUUGAAAGAUACGAAAGUUUUCGUGUCGAAUAACGGCAAAAAUAGAGAAGCUGGAUGCAGAGUCCACCGUAAUUUACGGUCCCACCGUAAAUUACGGUGGAGAUGAAUUGGUUACGGUGCUAGUUGUCUGUUGUACGGUAGAAGAAUAGAAACCCAGGGGCCACCGUAAUUUACGGUCCCACCGUAAAUUACGGUGGAGAUUAUUUUUUUUAUAUAUUUUGUUUUCAUUUGAAAAUCAAUUGUUUCCCGGACAUCGUUCGGACAUGAUUUAAACCCCGUAUGACUAAAGCAUUUCAUGUUUAUGAAAUGUAGGUACACCUUGGACGCCGGAAGACGAUCAAGCUCAGCGAAGAACCGAACACGAUAAUGUUACACGCUUCCGCACUUUGCUACGUUGUAAUUUUUAAACAACGAAUUCGAUCACGUUAUGUAGAAUAACUUAUGAUUUAUAAAAGUUUUAAUAAACCCGUAUUUCCAAAUGUUUAUGUAAUCUUAAUUACAUGAUUGUUUUACGUAAAAUUUACGUUAAACCUUGAAUUAUAAGACCGGGUGUUACAAGUUGGUAUCAGAGCCUUGGUUUAAGAGAUUCGAGUAUGGUGGGGAGGAACCAUGCUUGGACUUAAACCUUAUGCUCUUGACAAAGAAUAGUGUUCGGUUCGAGGCUUGAUCGCAAUUCCGGUAAGUACAUGUAUGCUAAAGUUUUGUAAACAACACAUAGGGUUAUCGUGUGAUACACGUUACCCCGAUUAAAAUGAUUGAUAUAGUUGACGAAAAUACGUGCGUUGACGCGUAUAGUAGAAAAAGCCUUGUAUUAUAAUGCGGGCGAUUAUUAAAGUUGACGUUACUAACUUUUGUGAAUGUUUUAAUUGAAGGACACUCGCGUUUGAAGACGACGAGAGUCAAACGAAUUGUGGAUAUAAUGAUGGAACGGUCCGAGAUAUGGCAAGGAGAGCAUAAUCAUCAAGGACCUAAAUCGCGUAACGAUUGCAAAUAAGUAACGGCAAGAAAGCCCUUUAAGGCAAGCAAUAUCAGUGUGUGUGUGUGUGCGCAGGAACGAUCAGAAGAACAGGGGGUUCUUUCAAAACCCUAAAGCACAUGAAAUCCAGCAAAAUCAAGGAGAAAUCGAGCAAAGAAAUUAGGGCUUUAACUAAAAUCGUGAUCACCAAGCUAAGGGGAUCGGAAGUUUGACGCCUAACAAGCUAGGUGGAAGCUUGUGGAUGAAGCGGGUCAAACGGAGCGCGUACGGAAAGAAAGGCGUGGCAUGGAUGCAAGGUAAGUAUAGCUUACACUAGUCUUAUAUGUUAGGAUAUUCUCUUAUCGUAUUAGUUAUGAAUGAGAUAAAUACUUAAUUGAGGUAUGAUGUUCCGGCGUGUAAACGUACGGAACAAAGUAGUCAAUCAUGACAAGAAACCAUGUGGAUGGUUAAAAGGAGUUAAAUCGGUAAAUUGGUCAUGCGUUGACCAUAACUAUUGGUUUUGAAAGACACAGUAAAACAUAAACCAUGAUAGGCUAAAAAGUGUUAAGAAAUGAUUAAUAAGUGAAAUGACCGCACGAUGUAAACCGGAGCGAGUCAUGUAGAUGAGAUGGUAAUAAAUAUCAUCUCGUCAACAUAUUCGGUCACUUAGACCAAAUGGGUUAAAAGGUGAAGAUAUCACCCUUUGACAAUAACGACUAAUGAUUUUUGUCGAGUUAUAUUAUUUCAGGUGUAAAUGUCAAAUGGGUAUUAGCAACGCUAUGAAUUAGCGGUUAUAAAAGCAAGGUACACCUUGGACGCCGGAAGACGAUCAAGCUCAGCGAAGAACCGAACACGAUAAUGUUACACGCUUCCGCACUUUGCUACGUUGUAAUUUUUAAACAACGAAUUCGAUCACGUUAUGUAGAAUAACUUAUGAUUUAUAAAAGUUUUAAUA
RNAcentral lists this long non-coding RNA (3141 nucleotides) under Helianthus annuus (common sunflower). Its description in RNAcentral is "hypothetical non coding rna". The record is from RNAcentral. Lineage: Eukaryota; Viridiplantae; Streptophyta; Magnoliopsida; Asterales; Asteraceae.